This 253-nucleotide ribosomal RNA is filed under the name uncultured bacterium. RNAcentral's name for it is "partial 16S ribosomal RNA". It matches the Rfam family "Bacterial small subunit ribosomal RNA", at positions 524 to 776 of the family's 1533-position model. The record is from RNAcentral.
UACAGAGGUCUCAAGCGUUGUUCGGAUUUAUUGGGCGUAAAGGGUGCGCAGGCGGUGUGGUAAGUUUGGUGUGAAAUCCUGGGGCUCAACCCCAGAAUUGCACUGAAUACUGCCAUGCUAGAGGACUGGAGAGGAGAUUGGAAUUCACGGUGUAGCAGUGAAAUGCGUAGAUAUCGUGAGGAAGACCAGUGGCGAAGGCGAAUCUCUGGACAGUUCCUGACGCUCAUGCACGAAGGCUAGGGGAGCAAACGGG